UACAGGGGGCGCGAGCGUUGCUCGGAAUCACUGGGCGUAAAGCGUACGCAGGCGGGUUUCUUAGUUUGUUGCGAAAUCCCGGGGCUCAACCCCGGAACUGCGAUGAAGACUGUCGAUCUUGAGUACGGGAGAGGGGAGCGGAAUUCCUGGUGUAGAGGUGAAAUUCGUAGAUAUCAGGAGGAACACCGGUGGCGAAAGCGGCUCCCUGGCCCGAUACUGACGCUCAUGUACGAAAGCGUGGGGAGCAAACAGG
This 253-nucleotide ribosomal RNA is filed under the name uncultured bacterium. Its description in RNAcentral is "partial 16S ribosomal RNA". It matches the Rfam family "Bacterial small subunit ribosomal RNA", at positions 524 to 776 of the family's 1533-position model. The record is from RNAcentral.